UACGAAGGGGGCUAGCGUUGUUCGGAAUUACUGGGCGUAAAGCGCACGCAGGCGGUCUGUUGAAUUAGAAGUGAAAGCCCUGGGCUCAACCCGGGAAUUGCUUUUAAGACUGGCAGGCUAGAAUCCGGAAGAGGGUAGCGGAAUUCCCAGUGUAGAGGUGAAAUUCGUAGAUAUUGGGAAGAACACCGGUGGCGAAGGCGGCUACCUGGUCCGGCAUUGACGCUCAUGUGCGAAAGCGUGGGGAGCAAACAGG
Molecule: ribosomal RNA, 253 nt
Filed under: uncultured Telmatospirillum sp.
Lineage: Bacteria; Pseudomonadati; Pseudomonadota; Alphaproteobacteria; Rhodospirillales; Rhodospirillaceae
Description: partial 16S ribosomal RNA
Rfam family: Bacterial small subunit ribosomal RNA
Source: RNAcentral